Molecule: long non-coding RNA, 3800 nt
Organism: Capsicum annuum
Lineage: Eukaryota; Viridiplantae; Streptophyta; Magnoliopsida; Solanales; Solanaceae
Exons: 6
Source: RefSeq, a predicted model, not a curated record
UUCAUCAGAAAAACUCCUGAAAAUUGUGGGGAUGCGUCAGAGACUUUGCAAUGUAUGGCUCAUCGUUUUCAUUAUUUCGAGAAGAAAUUGACCCCCACCCCGCGAACGAACAGACAUUUUUUUCUAGUAAAAUAACCGCCAGAAUUUGGGCUCAGUCUGCUGAGCUUCUCAAUUUUUUUUGCCAUUCAAAUUCAGGUUAUUAUUAGAAGAUGCUUGGGUCACUACCUAUAAUAAUGAUUUGCUUCCUCUCUGGCAAUCUCUUGCUCCUUCACAUCAUCCAUUCCAAUGGCGGUUUUCUAUCUGGGUUGAUAAGCCUACACCGGGUAAUGCUCUAAUGAAUCUGAGGUAUAAAGAUGAACGUGCGGUUGAAGUGAGAGGAAAAGUUCGAACAGGAUUGUAGGGACCUGGUCCUACUGUUGCACAGAAGAUAUGGUACUUUGUCGCUGCUGUUGGUGGACAAUAUAUGUUGGCUCGUCUUCAAUCAUUUUCUGCGUUUCGAAGAUGGGGCGACUCUGAGCAGAGCUCUUUGGCACACUGAGCAUGGUUGUUAAUACAACGGAUGGAAGGGAUCUAUAAAGCAGCAGCUUUCAGUAAUCUAAUUCUGUUUUUUUAUACAGGAAGGAAUUGUUGCUCUGCUUCUUCCCCUUCUCAAUUCAUCAUUAGUCAAGAAUUUUCUUCGUCCGUUCUCAAAGGACAAAACUUCAGAUUCUUCAGUGGAUGACACUUUGUGCCGAAUCUACCAAAGAAAGCCAACAAUUCCAUUUUUAGCUAUCCCUUGUCUACACAGCUACUGUUACUACUGUCUUCAAACACGACGCUCUGCUGCUCCAUCCUUUCGUUGCCCCUGAUGUGGCGAACCGAUUGCUGCUAUGCAACGACAUGGUGGUUCAGUCAACAACAUUAGUCAGAUACAAUAAUUCGCAUGAAAGAUGAAGUGAAAUGACAGGAAGGGAAAGCUUCAGUCAAACUAUGGAUCAAAAGUUGCCCAAAGAUAACACAGAAAUUGAGUUAGGAAUCAAGAUUCCUUGAUAAAGCAACUUGUUUGCUUUAUUGAGUGCAUUCAUUUGUAAAAGUUUCUUGUCUUUUUUAAUGUAGCCUUUCUUUUCUAUAAUCCCAUCUAUAUGUUUAUUUUAAAGAUUCUCUUAAAAGUUUGAUCAGUCACAGGUCAUAAUUGAUUCAAUUUUUUUUUUUUUUUAUCAGAUGGCUCAAUCAGCCCUAUUUUAGCUUUGUUCAGGGUAACUUCCUAGUAGGAAGAAACGGUGAAAAAGAAAGGUUAGAACAAUCCUUCAUUUAUUGUUUCACAUUGCUAACUAGUGUGCUGUGUUUCAUUGAAUCUGCAUGUAGAGUUGCCAAGUGAUGUGCAGGUUAUAAUACUUUUUAAGAAUUGGUAGCUAAAUUUACCAGUUGCUGUUACUGUAGCAAAAGUUAGUAGCCGUUGAAGUUUUUGAGCAACAAAAGUUCACCAUAACUUGUGAUUUCGUGGGGACUUGUAUUCCACUAAUCCUUAUCUUUUUGUUUCUUUGGCCUCCUCUUUCCAUGGGCUUUAUAGGUGAACGAAUUGUAGGAAUUACGCCUAAUGAUCUUGAAAAUAAUGAGUGGUCUUGAACUUUUGACCCCGCUUAUCCCAUUGGCAAACCUUCAAGAUCAAGUCAAACUUGUUAAACCUGAAGUUUUGCCCUCGGGAAAGCAAGGUCAAAAGUCCAAGACCGCCUACUUCCGAGGCUGUAAAUCACCCAAAUAAAUUGCAUUGAAGGUAGACCUCUCCCUUUCAGCUUAAAGUUCCCUUUUCUUCCUUUUUUUGGUUGGGUCUACAAGGUCAAAAAAGCUCAAAUAAGAACAACACUUGCCCUUGAAUAUAUGUAUAUAUUGCAGUCUGAAUUGGUACUUUAAGACUCAUGAUUGGAUCUUAAUUUGUCUUACAUGCUAUUGUUACUAGGACCAAUAUCUAAAUCAGUCGUUAGUUUUUGUAAUAAAUCAAUUUAAAUGGCUAUGUUGUAGUAUUAGCUAGGUGGUCUUUCAUAUGAACCCCUGAGCAACCAACUGAGAAUGUGUCACGACCCGAACCGAGGCCCUGGUCGUAACGAGCAUCCCUAACCAUGAAGGCCCGGGUGCCCCUUUCUUUCUGGCAAUCAUACACAACUUUCAUAUACUUUAACAAAUGCGGAAGUAAGCAAUAAAGAUGGUAACAUGGUCAAAUCACUUAGUUCAGCGGAAUAAUACGAAACUUGAGUUCAAAACAUUCAACAAAAUAUUUGACACCAGUCUGUGAAAUUUCUAACACUGUGAAAGUCAACAUCUGUCUAAAGACUGGGACAAGGCCCCCAGUCAAACUGUAAAACAAGAGAAAUAACAAAGUUUAAUGAUCAAGCCUUUCGGAAUAGAGAAGGCUCACCAACUGCAACUUCUGACCUACAAAUCUACUGUUGAACGGGACCCCGAGACUGUGUCUCAGAUCCUGAAAUAUAGGGGGGUCAAUACCGAUGUAUUGGUAUGUGAAACAAUUCAAAAUAACAUGUUUAUACAAAAAUAGAUGUGAGCAUUUCAUAAUAACAGUGAACAUAAUAUAAGUAGAAAUACAUGGGCAUAUUUAAUAAACUUCAAAUCAAUUCUUGACAGCGUUGACUCACUCUUUGUUAUUCUUCUGAGCUAGUCGGUACACCCUACAAAUUUGAAAUUUCACGGGCUAUGUGGAACCUGCCCUUGACUCGGCGGCCGAGCCUCCAAUCCAAGUAGCCGCCAGGAUUUGGAGCUGGUGAUACCCCAUGUGAGCAUACCACAGGAAUCCCCCCAUGUGAGAUGUCCUAAUUAUUUUAUUAUCCUCCCAUGUAGGAUACAAUAUCAUAUGACCCACAUCGGCAACUACGGUUUCCAGCGAUGAGCCCUUACACUCAAGCGCCUUCUUCGGGUAACCUACUAGCUCUCUUAAGCCCAACUUUUAGUUCUUUAAAGUAGACAUGUUCAUACUUUCAAAACAUUCGAUACUUAUCUUGUUAAGGGCAUGUAAUCACCGGGUAUCGUCAUACCGUGACUUGCAAGUCAAUCAAAUCACACCAUAUCAAUCUGUAGCCCUUUUCACUUAUUAUCAUAUUAGUGACCACCCUAACUUUUAAACAUCAGAUGAGAGAGAGUUAUGCAAUAAAUCUUUCAUUCAAAAUCUUCAUCAAAACAUUCUCCUCCCAAUUGCAGAAUCAAUAGGUGGACACCCCAUAUUUGUAAUUUUCUUACAAUCCAAGGAAGUUGUUAAUUUGACACAAUGAGCAUUUAUCAUGUGAAAACAUAUACUCAACAUGUCAUAAACAGUACCAAAUCAUGAUCAUUUAACAAUAAUUCACCCAUUAAUUUUUCAUUUAGAAAGUUCAUGCCUUUAAACAACCCAUAACAAUCUAAAUCGACAAUAUCAUGAUAAAAAAGGGAGUUUUGAUCAUUCAUGCUCUCAUUCAAACUAUACAAAACAUACGAAAUUAGAUAUACAUAGUUAUAGUUCAAAUUUCAUAAAAAGUGGUUCAAGGCAACAUAUAUUUUUCAUCAAAACAAUCCCAUGAUGCCUAUUUUUCGAAAACAAUAUCGAACAAUUCAUUAUGAAACAUAAUUGGGGAUCUUUAAUCUUGAUAAAACGUUUAAACUUACGCCCGUGGUUUUUAGAGUAGUCCCACAUACCUUAGAUUAUAAGAUUUGAAAGAUGGAACCCGAAUCUUGAUCUGUUUUCUUGAAAUCUUGAACGUAAGGAUUGGUUCUUGAUUUCUUGUUCUUGGAGGUGUCUAGGGUUUUUAGUUUUGAGAGAAAUUGAACAAAAGAGGCAA